Molecule: ribosomal RNA, 253 nt
Filed under: uncultured bacterium
Lineage: Bacteria
Description: partial 16S ribosomal RNA
Rfam family: Bacterial small subunit ribosomal RNA
Source: RNAcentral
UACGUACCGGACAAACGUUAUUCGGAAUCACUGGGCUUAAAGAGUGCGUAGGCGGCCAGGUAGGUGAGGUGUGAAAUCCCACGGCUCAACCGUGGAAUGGCGCUUCAAACCGCCCGGCUUGAGUGAGACAGGGGUGAGCGGAACUGAUGGUGGAGCGGUGAAAUGCGUUGAUAUCAUCAGGAACACCGGUGGCGAAGGCGGCUCACUGGGUCUCUUCUGACGCUGAGGCACGAAAGCUAGGGGAGCAAACGGG